Long non-coding RNA from Cherax quadricarinatus, 1904 nucleotides. RefSeq lists it as uncharacterized. The record is from RefSeq and is a predicted model, not a curated record. NCBI's taxonomy places the organism in Eukaryota, Metazoa, Arthropoda, Malacostraca, Decapoda, Parastacidae.
AUGGUUUGUUUGCAAUCGUGUCAUUACGAUUUCUUGAGUCAUGUUGACGGCAGUGAAGGGACUUGAGCUAGAGUUCGUCACGGCCACGCUAGCUGGAGAUUCGUCUGUAAAAACUUGCAUUUGUGGUCACAGAGGUGCCUGUGCUAACCUUUCUAUGGUGUAGAAAUAUACCUAGUUGGAUGAAUCUUAUUGUGGCUAGCUGGUCUAGUGGCUAACGCGACGGGCUGGAGUUUUGAGACUCUAUGACCGCGGGUUCAAUCCCGGCCGGGGGUAUGGUUUGUUUGCAAUCGUGUCAUUACAAUUUCUUGAGUCACGUUAGGACAGGUUAAUUGUGAAAACAAUCUGUUACAAAAAAAAAUUAAUGUAUCUGUUCUUCAGAAUUUUUGUAUGAACAUUAAAUUUCUGUAUAUAAUUACACUUCUAUUAACCCUUUGACUGUCGCAAGCCCCUUUCUGAAACUGUCAUUCUAUGUUGAAAAAUUUUUGGAAAAAAAAAAAUUAUUUUUUUUCUUAUGAAAUGAUAAUCUUUUCCCUAUGGUAAUGACACCAAAAAGUACGAAAUUUGAUCGAACACUUACCGAAUUACGCCCCCGCAAAGUUAGCGAUCUCAGCGAUAUAUACGCAUCGGUGAUUUUGCUAACUUUGAGCCCUAUUUUCGGCCAAUUCCAUUAUUCCAGUCGACCAAACUCAUAGCUAUUUCUUUAGAACUCCAUUUUUUCUAUCAAUUGAGUACAAAAAAACACCCAUUUACCGAUUUCAACUACCCAAUGAAUUGGUCAGAAAUUGACAAUUUGGCCAAUUUCACGCAAAUUAAAAAAGAUGCCAAUUUCGAAAUAGCGUCCAGAAUACACAAUGCAGACAUUCUCUGCACUAAAAUAACAUAUCCUCUGUUCAUUAGUCAUAUCCCUAGGCCCCUCUUAUAUUACUCUUGCUUUCUAUUUUGAUUUUUUAUUCACACAAAAAAUAGAAGAUUUACUGUUAUGCAGACUACUGCAUUAUUUUAAAAAUGGUAUAAAUAAUAUCAGUGCACUAGUGAAAUAAAUAUUAUUAGAUUCCCCAGUUGAAGUGUAUUGGACGUGUGGUGUGAUUUUCUUACUCUUGAACAUUGGUAAAAAUCGAACAUUUCUGCUACUUUGAGCUCAAUUUCAAGGUCGUUUUCAUCAUGAAACUAAUAAAAAUCAUCUCUACUUCUGUAAUAUGUUUUUCAUUCUAUAAAAUGAGACCAAGAAAAUGAGAAUACAACCAUAAAUACAAUACGAAAAUACACCUCAAAUUCGGUGUUUUAAUCCAAAAACACAGUGAGUUUUUUUUCUCAUUAUGCACUGCAGGAUUUUUUUUAUAUAGUGCACACUGACUACACAGACCCCUUCUCUCACAUGUGGGCCUACCAGCUUUCUCCUGCUUGAUUUGAAGCCGCUAGAAUUAUUGAAUAUACUGUAUGUACGUCCAAAACGCUGGCUCGUAAGACGUAUAUAUACGACCGAAACAGUCAAUGGGUUAAUGUACAGUAUUUCUCUUCAGCUUAACAUCUUACAUUGCAACUCAGGAGAGGGAGGCUAAACUCCAUCACUGUCACACACUUUACUGCAAUCCUAAUGGCUAAUAUCAUAUAUGCUGUAAUUUUUCUUUCAGAUACAUACUUAUCUCUCUCACAUACUUUUGUCAUCUUACCAAGGUUUUGUUUUAAUGAGCUUGUAUUUUUUGAACUGGUACCACUGUAAUUGAAACAUGAAUGUUGAUGUAUAGCAUUGGUUACCCCCUACUUUUAACCAUCUAUUAUAUUUGCGAUUCAGUAUCAUUUAUUCUUUAAAAAGAAAUUUAACUAAAGCCUACUACUAGCUUACGAACAUCCCCAGCAACUUACUUGAGGUUCAGUUAUUGGAAGAAUAAACAUUAAAAUGUAAA